UACGGAGGAUCCAAGCGUUAUCCGGAUUUAUUGGGUUUAAAGGGUGUGUAGGCGGGUAUUUAAGUCAGUGGUGAAAUCUCCGGGCUCAACCCGGAAACUGCCAUUGAUACUAUUUAUCUUGAAUAUCGUUGAGGUUGGCGGAAUAUAUCAUGUAGCGGUGAAAUGCAUAGAUAUGAUAUAGAACACCGAUUGCGAAGGCAGCUAACUAAGCGAUGAUUGACGCUGAGGCACGAAAGCGUGGGGAUCAAACAGG
This 253-nucleotide ribosomal RNA is filed under the name uncultured bacterium. Its description in RNAcentral is "partial 16S ribosomal RNA". It matches the Rfam family "Bacterial small subunit ribosomal RNA", at positions 524 to 776 of the family's 1533-position model. The record is from RNAcentral.